This 226-nucleotide unclassified non-coding RNA is filed under the name uncultured fungus. Its description in RNAcentral is "sequence contains ITS1, 5.8S rRNA gene". The stretch from base 178 to 226 matches the Rfam family "5.8S ribosomal RNA", at positions 1 to 49 of the family's 154-position model. Lineage: Eukaryota; Fungi. The record is from RNAcentral.
UUUCCGUAGGUGAACCUGCGGAAGGAUCAUUACAGAGGUUUAUCCUUUAUUUGUGAAUUUUGUAUCUGGCAUUGUUAGUGUAGCCUGAGCUUGAACCAUUCUGUGGCGAUGGCAGCGACGGCGACCACUUCAAUGCCAAACUUUACACUAUAUACCGUCUGAAGAAAAGAAAUGAAAAACUUUCAACAAUGGAUCUCUUGGCUCUGGCAUCGAUGAAGAACGCAGC